Molecule: ribosomal RNA, 439 nt
Filed under: uncultured bacterium
Lineage: Bacteria
Description: partial 16S ribosomal RNA
Rfam family: Bacterial small subunit ribosomal RNA
Source: RNAcentral
CUACGGGCCGCUCCAGUCGAGAAUCUUGGGCAAUGCGCGAAAGCGUGACCCAGCAAUGCCGCGUGUGUGAUGAAGGCCCUCGGGUCGUAAAACACUGUCUCCCGUGACGAUAAUGACGGUAGCGGGGAAGGAAGCCACGGCUAACUACGUGCCAGCAGCCGCGGUAAUACGUAGGUGGCGAGCGUUGUUCGGAUUUAUUGGGCGUAAAGGGUCUGUAGGAGGUUUGUUAAAUUCGAGGUGAAAUCCCGUGGCUCAACCACGGAACUGCCUUGGAGACUGAUAGACUAGGGUGCUGGAGAGGUAAACGGAAUACCAAGUGUAGCGGUGGAAUGCGUAGAUAUUUGGUAGAACACCAAGAGCGAAGGCAGUUUACUGGACAGUAACCGACUCUGAGAGACGAAAGCGUGGGGAGCAAACAGGAUUAGAUACCCCCGUAGUC